UUCGGUAGAUUGCUAGCGGCGGACGGGUGCGUAACACGUGGGUAACCUGCCCCUAUCACUGGGAUAACACACUGAAAAGUGUGCUAAUACCAGAUAACAUAAGCUUUUGGCAUCAUUAGCUUAUCAAAGAAUUUCGGAUAGGGAUGGGCCCGCGUCUGAUUAGCUAGUUGGUGAGGUAACGGCUCACCAAGGCAACGAUCAGUAGCCGACCUGAGAGGGUGAUCGGCCACACUGGAACUGAGACACGGUCCAGACUCCUACGGGAGGCAGCAGUGGGGAAUAUUGCACAAUGGGCGAAAGCCUGAUGCAGCAACGCCGCGUGAGCGAUGAAGGCCUUCGGGUCGUAAAGCUCUGUCCUAUGGGAAGAUAAUGACGGUACCAUAGGAGGAAGCCCCGGCUAACUACGUGCCAGCAGCCGCGGUAAUACGUAGGGGGCAAGCGUUAUCCGGAAUUACUGGGCGUAAAGGGUGCGUAGGCGGUUUAUCAAGUCAGGGGUGAAAGGCUACGGCUCAACCGUAGUGAGCCUCUGAAACUGGUGAACUUGAGUGUAGGAGAGGAAAGUGGAAUUCCCAGUGUAGCGGUGAAAUGCGUAGAUAUUGGGAGGAACACCAGU
This 613-nucleotide ribosomal RNA is filed under the name uncultured bacterium. RNAcentral describes it as "bacterial SSU rRNA". It matches the Rfam family "Bacterial small subunit ribosomal RNA", at positions 80 to 713 of the family's 1533-position model. The record is from RNAcentral.